CUAAGUUUGAUGGCGACCGGCGCACGGGUGAGUAACACGUAUCCAACCUGCCGAUGACUCGGGGAUAGCCUUUCGAAAGAAAGAUUAAUACCCGAUGGCAUAAUGAUUCCGCAUGGUUUCAUUAUUAAAGGAUUCCGGUAAAGGAUGGGGACGCGUUCCAUUAGGUUGUUGGUGAGGUAACGGCCCACCAAGCCUUCGAUGGAUAGGGGUUCUGAGAGGAAGGUCCCCCACAUUGGAACUGAGACACGGUCCAAACUCCUACGGGAGGCAGCAUG
RNAcentral lists this ribosomal RNA (275 nucleotides) under uncultured bacterium. RNAcentral's name for it is "partial 16S ribosomal RNA". It matches the Rfam family "Bacterial small subunit ribosomal RNA", at positions 79 to 353 of the family's 1533-position model. The record is from RNAcentral.